CCUACGGGAUGCAGCAGUGAGGAAUAUUGGUCAAUGGCCGCAAGGCUGAACCAGCCAAGUCGCGUGAGGGAAGACGGUUCUAUGGUUUGUAAACUUCUUUUUUCGGGGAGCAAAGGACUCCACGUGUGGCUUUUUGAGUGUACCCUAUGACUAAGCAUCGGCUAACUCCGUGCCAGCAGCCGCGGUAAUCCGGAGGAUGCGGGCGUUAUCCGGAUUUAUUGGGUUUAAGGGGUGCGAAGGGGGUAUAUUAAGUCAGCGGUAAAAUUUAGUGGCUAAACCUGAUCGUGCCGUUGAAACUGGGUGUCUUGAGUGUGUGUGAAGUAGGCGGAAUGCGUGGUGUAGCGGUGAAAUGCAUAGAUAUCACGAAGAACUCCGAUUGCGAAGGCAGCAUACCGACGCUCCACUGACGCUGAUGCACGAAAGUGUGGGUAUCGAACAGGAUUAGAUACCCUUGUAGUC
Molecule: ribosomal RNA, 459 nt
Filed under: uncultured bacterium
Lineage: Bacteria
Description: partial 16S ribosomal RNA
Rfam family: Bacterial small subunit ribosomal RNA
Source: RNAcentral